This 1536-nucleotide ribosomal RNA is filed under the name Escherichia coli. RNAcentral's name for it is "bacterial SSU rRNA". It matches the Rfam family "Bacterial small subunit ribosomal RNA". The record is from RNAcentral. Lineage: Bacteria; Pseudomonadati; Pseudomonadota; Gammaproteobacteria; Enterobacterales; Enterobacteriaceae.
UUGAAGAGUUUGAUCAUGGCUCAGAUUGAACGCUGGCGGCAGGCCUAACACAUGCAAGUCGAACGGUAACAGGAAGCAGCUUGCUGCUUUGCUGACGAGUGGCGGACGGGUGAGUAAUGUCUGGGAAACUGCCUGAUGGAGGGGGAUAACUACUGGAAACGGUAGCUAAUACCGCAUAACGUCGCAAGACCAAAGAGGGGGACCUUCGGGCCUCUUGCCAUCGGAUGUGCCCAGAUGGGAUUAGCUAGUAGGUGGGGUAACGGCUCACCUAGGCGACGAUCCCUAGCUGGUCUGAGAGGAUGACCAGCCACACUGGAACUGAGACACGGUCCAGACUCCUACGGGAGGCAGCAGUGGGGAAUAUUGCACAAUGGGCGCAAGCCUGAUGCAGCCAUGCCGCGUGUAUGAAGAAGGCCUUCGGGUUGUAAAGUACUUUCAGCGGGGAGGAAGGGAGUAAAGUUAAUACCUUUGCUCAUUGACGUUACCCGCAGAAGAAGCACCGGCUAACUCCGUGCCAGCAGCCGCGUAAUACGGAGGGUGCAAGCGUUAAUCGGAAUUACUGGGCGUAAAGCGCACGCAGGCGGUUUGUUAAGUCAGAUGUGAAAUCCCGGGCUCAACCUGGGAACUGCAUCUGAUACUGGCAAGCUUGAGUCUCGUAGAGGGGGGUAGAAUUCCAGGUGUAGCGGUGAAAUGCGUAGAGAUCUGGAGGAAUACCGGUGGCGAAGGCGGCCCCCUGGACGAAGACUGACGCUCAGGUGCGAAAGCGUGGGGAGCAAACAGGAUUAGAUACCCUGGUAGUCCACGCCGUAAACGAUGUCGACUUGGAGGUUGUGCCCUUGAGGCGUGGCUUCCGGAGCUAACGUGUUAAGUCGACCGCCUGGGGAGUACGGCCGCAAGGUUAAAACUCAAAUGAAUUGACGGGGGCCCGCACAAGCGGUGGAGCAUGUGGUUUAAUUCGAUGCAACGCGAAGAACCUUACCUGGUCUUGACAUCCACGGAAGUUUUCAGAGAUGAGAAUGUGCCUUCGGGAACCGUGAGACAGGUGCUGCAUGGCUGUCGUCAGCUCGUGUUGUGAAAUGUUGGGUUAAGUCCCGCAACGAGCGCAACCCUUAUCCUUUGUUGCCAGCGGUCCGGCCGGGAACUCAAAGGAGACUGCCAGUGAUAAACUGGAGGAAGGUGGGGAUGACGUCAAGUCAUCAUGGCCCUUACGACCAGGGCUACACACGUGCUACAAUGGCGCAUACAAAGAGAAGCGACCUCGCGAGAGCAAGCGGACCUCAUAAAGUGCGUCGUAGUCCGGAUUGGAGUCUGCAACUCGACUCCAUGAAGUCGGAAUCGCUAGUAAUCGUGGAUCAGAAUGCCACGGUGAAUACGUUCCCGGGCCUUGUACACACCGCCCGUCACACCAUGGGAGUGGGUUGCAAAAGAAGUAGGUAGCUUAACCUUCGGGAGGGCGCUUACCACUUUGUGAUUCAUGACUGGGGUGAAGUCGUAACAAGGUAACCGUAGGGGAACCUGCGGUUGGAUCACCUCCUU